RNAcentral lists this ribosomal RNA (690 nucleotides) under Odontobracon aff. oemeovorus CNIN764. Its description in RNAcentral is "partial large subunit ribosomal RNA". It matches the Rfam family "Eukaryotic large subunit ribosomal RNA", at positions 394 to 798 of the family's 3401-position model. Lineage: Eukaryota; Metazoa; Arthropoda; Insecta; Hymenoptera; Braconidae. The record is from RNAcentral.
AGUACGUGAAACCGUUCAGGGGUAAACCUGAGAAACCCAAAAGAUCGAAAGGGGAGAUUCAUCGUCAGCGCAUUUUGUAUAUGUAUCAAGUUAUGAUACAGGUUACUCUUGUAGUAUUGCCUUGUACAUAUUUGUGCAUUUAGUUGCAAAAUGUUGUCGGCGUGCACUUCUCCCCUAGUAGAACAUCGCGACUCGUUGAGUCUAUUGUUGUUGGUUUACGACCAGAGUGGAAGCCUUUAAUUAUCUGCAUUGUAGAUAUUUAAAGACCCUUUGUGUUUUCUAACCAGCUACUCGGCGAUAAAUUUUAUGGUAUUGAGCCGCAUUUAUAUUAAUGUGCGUCCAUAUCCGUCGCAAGCGAGGCCAGGAAAAUUAAUUUUUGGUAGUACGGACCCAGUGCCGUCGCUGAAUCUGGCCAGCUGUUGGCUGUACGGUAAUCUAGGACUGGCUUAAUUAAUACCUGUCAGCGAUGCUAUUGCUUUGGGUACUUUCAGGACCCGUCUUGAAACACGGACCAAGGAGUCUAACAUGUGCGCAAGUCAUUGGGAUUUUUUUGUUAAAUUAAACCUAAAGGCGUAAUGAAAGUAAAGAUCGACCUUGCGUCGAUUAAGGGAGGAUGAGUUGUUAUAGUAAAAUAUGCAACUUCGCACUCCCGGGGCGUCUCAUUCUCAUUACGAGAAGAGGCGCACCUAG